GAGGGAUAUUGGGCAAUGGGGGAAACCCUGACCCACCAACGCCGCGUGAGGGAUGACGGUUUUCGGAUUGUAAACCUCUGUCCUCUGUGAAGAUAGUGACGGUAGCAGAGGAGGAAGCUCCGGCUAACUACGUGCCAGCAGCCGCGGCAAUACGUAGGGAGCAAGCGUUGUCCGGAUUUACUGGGUGUAAAGGGUGCGUAGGCGGAUUGGCAAGUCAGAAGUGAAAUCCAUGGGCUUAACCCAUGAACUGCUUUUGAAACUGUUAGUCUUGAGUGAAGUAGAGGUAGGCGGAAUUCCCGGUGUAGCGGUGAAAUGCGUAGAGAUCGGGAGGAACACCAGUGGCGAAGGCGGCCUACUGGGCUUUAACUGACGCUGAGGCACGAAAGUGUGGGUAGCAAACAGGAUUAGAUACCCUGGUAGUCCACACUGUAAACGAUGAUUACUAGGUGUGGGGGGUCUAACCCCCUCCGUGCCGGAGUUAACACAAUAAGUAAUCCACCUGGGGAGUACGACCGCAAGGUUGAAACUCAAAGGAAUUGACGGGGGCCCGCACAAGCAGUGGAGUAUGUGGUUUAAUUCGACGCAACGCGAAGAACCUUACCAGGUCUUGACAUCCAACUAACGAAGCAGAGAUGCGUUAGGUGCCCUUCGGGGAAAGUUGAGACAGGUGGUGCAUGGUUGUCGUCAGCUCGUGUCGUGAGAUGUUGGGUUAAGUCCCGCAACGAGCGCAACCCUUGUGAUUAGUUGCUACGCAAGAGCACUCUAGCAGGACUGCCGUUGACAAAACGGAGGAAGGUGGGGACGACGUCAAAUCAUCAUGCCCUUUAUGACCUGGGCUACACACGUACUACAAUGGUCGUUAACAGAGGGAAGCAAUACCGCGAGGUGGAGCAAAACCCUAAAAACGGUCUCAGUUCAGAUUGUAGGCUGCAACUCGCCUACAUGAAGUUGGAAUUGCUAGUAAUCGCGGAUCAGCAUGCCGCGGUGAAUACGUUCCCG
This 999-nucleotide ribosomal RNA is filed under the name uncultured bacterium. RNAcentral describes it as "bacterial SSU rRNA". It matches the Rfam family "Bacterial small subunit ribosomal RNA", at positions 356 to 1376 of the family's 1533-position model. The record is from RNAcentral.